RNAcentral lists this long non-coding RNA (487 nucleotides) under Homo sapiens (human). Its description in RNAcentral is "non-protein coding lnc-XKR3-4:1". Lineage: Eukaryota; Metazoa; Chordata; Mammalia; Primates; Hominidae. The record is from RNAcentral.
AUAUUCACGCCACGCCACUCCAGCCUGGGCAACAGAGCUAGACCUUGUCUCAAAAAAUUAAGUUAGUUAAAUUAAACAUAAAGUUGCAUUGUAUUUAAGAAAUUGGGAAAGCAUUCAUAUGUGGGCAGUAAAAAAGUGGAUCUCAUGAAGAUAGAAAGUAAAUUGAUGGUUGCUAGAGGCCAGCAAGGGGAGUGGGAAGAGGAGAUUAAGAGAAGAAAAUAUAAAUGUAUUUAUCACCACUAAACUGUCCUCUAAAAAUGUACAGAUGGUAAAUUAUAUAUAUAUUUUUUAACUCAAUAAAAAGUUAAAAAAAAUUCUGCUGUGUGUUUAUAGAGCACAUGUACAAGACUUUCUCUAGGGUUGUAUCAGUUUUCUAUUCCUGCUGUAACAAUUUACCACAAAUUCAGUGGCUUAAAAGAACACAUUUUUGUAAGAUUUGAGUCAGUUUUAAAAAACACACACAAACUUAUUGUCUUAGAAUUGUUUU